CGGCGUCACUCCUUUGCUGUUGCGCGUGGGGCGGGUGCGGCUGCGUGCGCGUGGAGGCUGAUGCGGGAGGCAGAGAGCGCGGCGGCGACGGCCAGUGCGUCCGGACGCAAAGAGGCGGGGUCGAGGCGGGGCGCAGGGAGGCGGAGGGUGUCGAGCGAGGCGACCGGGGCAGCAGCGUCGGGGCCGCCUCGCGGGUGGUGCUCACCCGACGCGGCGGCGGCGCCGGCGUUGCGGCCGGUGGAGAGGGCGAGGGAGAGAGGGAGGGGGAGGGGCCGGUGGGCCGCGUGCCCAGCUGGGCCGGCCCACUAGCGGCCAUUUUUUUUCUUAUUUUUUAUUUUUCUUAUAUGAUGUAUAUGAUGUAUAAUUGUUCUAAAUAAUUAUUAAUUGUCCAAAAUAAAUAAAUAAUGAUGUAUUAUUAAUUAUUAAUUGUCCUAAAUAUUUAUUAAUUGUUCUAAAUAAUUAUUAAUUAUUAAUUGUCCUAAAUAAAUGUAUAUGAUGUUUUAUUUUUCUUAUAAUUAUUAAUUGUCCUAAAUAAAUAAAUAAAUAUGAUGUAUUAUUAAUUAUUAAUUGUCCUAAAUAUUUAUUAAUUGUUCUA
RNAcentral lists this long non-coding RNA (595 nucleotides) under Sorghum bicolor (sorghum). RNAcentral describes it as "long non-coding RNA (SBIC_LNC006303)". The record is from RNAcentral. Lineage: Eukaryota; Viridiplantae; Streptophyta; Magnoliopsida; Poales; Poaceae.